AAAGAUUGUACCCGUCUAGAUCUACUGCUAGUCGAUCCUAUGUACAGUUUAAAUCUAUCAAUGGUAUCAGUCGCCUACCUAGUUGGUAGAUCCAGAUCGGGAAAGAAAAGAUCACAGAAAAAAAUUACGGAUCCAAACCCGGACAGACCAAACCCUAACCAUAACCCCGAUAAAGAAAAAAAAGAAAUGUCGAACCCUAACACAAAGCACGUCAGAUCUGAUGUUUUUUUCCUUACUGUACUUAGCACUGCACGACACUGUGUUUUUGGGGCUCGGAUUAAAGGGCACCGUCGCAUAGCUUCUUGACAGUGACGCGCUCAACCGCAAGG
This 329-nucleotide long non-coding RNA is filed under the name Sorghum bicolor (sorghum). RNAcentral describes it as "long non-coding RNA (SBIC_LNC000889)". The record is from RNAcentral. Lineage: Eukaryota; Viridiplantae; Streptophyta; Magnoliopsida; Poales; Poaceae.